Molecule: ribosomal RNA, 253 nt
Filed under: uncultured bacterium
Lineage: Bacteria
Description: partial 16S ribosomal RNA
Rfam family: Bacterial small subunit ribosomal RNA
Source: RNAcentral
UACAGAGGGUGCAAGCGUUGUUCGGACUUAUUGGGCGUAAAGCGCGUGUAGGCGGCUUUGCCAGUCGGGUGUGAAAGCCCUCGGCUCAACCGAGGAAGUGCGCCCGAAACUGCAGAGCUUGAGUACCGGAGAGGGUGGCGGAAUUCCCCAAGUAGAGGUGAAAUUCGUAGAUAUGGGGAGGAACACCGGUGGCGAAGGCGGCCACCUGGACGGAUACUGACGCUGAGACGCGAAAGCGUGGGUAGCAAACAGG